Molecule: ribosomal RNA, 327 nt
Filed under: uncultured eukaryote
Lineage: Eukaryota
Description: partial 18S ribosomal RNA
Rfam family: Eukaryotic small subunit ribosomal RNA
Source: RNAcentral
CCCUUAGAUGUCCGGGGCCGCACGCGCGCUACAAUGGAUGAAUCAACGCGUCAUCCUGGCCCGAAAGGGUUGGGGAACCGCUGAACCUCAUCCGUGGUUGGGAUUGGGGUUUGUAAUUAUUCCCCAUGAACUAGGAAUUCCCAGUAAGCGCGAGUCAUAAGCUCGCGUUGAUUACGUCCCUGCCCUUUGUACACACCGCCCGUCGCUACUACCGAUUGGAUGGUUUAGUGAGAUCCUCGGAUUGGUCACGGCACGGUGGCAACACUGCGUCGGUGUGCCGAGAAGACGAUCAAACUUGAUCAUCUAGAGAAAGUAAAAGUCGUAACA